RNAcentral lists this ribosomal RNA (253 nucleotides) under uncultured bacterium. Its description in RNAcentral is "partial 16S ribosomal RNA". It matches the Rfam family "Bacterial small subunit ribosomal RNA", at positions 524 to 776 of the family's 1533-position model. The record is from RNAcentral.
UACGUAGGGGGCAAGCGUUGUCCGGAAUCAUUGGGCGUAAAGAGCGUGUAGGCGGCCUGAUAAGUCGGCUGUGAAAGUCAAGGGCUCAACCCUUGAAUGCCGGCCGAUACUGUCAGGCUAGAGUCCGGAAGAGGCGAGUGGAAUUCCUGGUGUAGCGGUGAAAUGCGCAGAUAUCGGGAGGAACACCAAUGGCGAAGGCAGCUCGCUGGGACGGUACUGACGCUGAGACGCGAAAGCGUGGGGAGCAAACAGG